RNAcentral lists this ribosomal RNA (594 nucleotides) under Naganishia albida. RNAcentral describes it as "partial large subunit ribosomal RNA". It matches the Rfam family "Eukaryotic large subunit ribosomal RNA", at positions 54 to 653 of the family's 3401-position model. The record is from RNAcentral. Lineage: Eukaryota; Fungi; Basidiomycota; Tremellomycetes; Filobasidiales; Filobasidiaceae.
AGGAAAAGAAACUAACAAGGAUUCCCCUAGUAACGGCGAGUGAAGCGGGAAGAGCUCAAAUUUGAAAUCUGGUAGCCUUCGGUUGCCCGAGUUGUAAUCUAGAGAAGUGUUUUCCGUGCCGGCCCAUGUACAAGUCCCUUGGAACAGGGCGUCAUAGAGGGUGAGAAUCCCGUCCUUGACAUGGACCCCCGGUGCUUUGUGAUACACUUUCAACGAGUCGAGUUGUUUGGGAAUGCAGCUCAAAAUGGGUGGUGAAUUCCAUCUAAAGCUAAAUAUUGGCGAGAGACCGAUAGCGAACAAGUACCGUGAGGGAAAGAUGAAAAGCACUUUGGAAAGAGAGUUAAACAGUACGUGAAAUUGUUGAAAGGGAAACGAUUGAAGUCAGUCAUGCUCUUGGGACUUACCUCCCUUGAGUGGGGUCAACAUCAGUUUUGAUCGAUGGAUAAAGGCACGGGGAAGGUAGCACUCUCGGGUGAACUUAUAGCCUCGCGUCAUAUACAUUGAUUGGGACUGAGGAACGCAGCAUGCCUUAUGGCCGGGAUUCGUCCACGUACAUGCUUAGGAUGUUGACAUAAUGGCUUUAAACGACCCGUC